AAAAAAAUUUUAAAAAUUACAAAAAGAGUUCCAUAUUUGUCUACUUAAUUCAUGUAUUAAAUAUUUUUAGAAGGAUAUAUUACUUUGAAUCUAUUUUUAUUUUAUUUUAAAAUAAUCAUUGAAAAUGCCAAAAAUAAUUUAAACUUUAAUUUGUAGUUUUAUUUUAAUAAAAUAGUUUAUUAAAAUCAAUUGAGAGUUAAUUUAUACCUUAUUAUAAGUAUAUUUAAAAAAACAAAAAGAAGCAAAUUAAAAUUUUCAGCUCAUUUAGGUUGUCUAGCCCGUACAAUUUGAGCCCAAAAUAUAACUAGCCCAAUUGAUCCACUAACCCUGCCCUUGUCUACUUCUUCCUUACAAAAAAGACUUACAAAAACCCUACAACCCAACAAACAAGGGUAGCGGUUGCCCGCCUUCUUCUUCAUGGAGAUGAGAAUCCAAAAACCCUACAACCCUUGCUGAACCCUAGGAAAGACCUAAUCCUAGGAUUAACCGGAACCCUUCUCCAAGCACACCCUAGAACCCCUGCUUCUGAAUGACUAAACGACCCACCUCAUCUCCAGCCACCAAGUAAUCGGAAAACGCGUCUCAGAGCAGCCACCAUUAGCGCCGCCAGCCUCUAACCUACCGGCCAUUACCCAUAGCAAUAGCCAAAAUACCAACCUUCAGCAUAACCACCCCCCUUCCCCCUCUCCAAUACCCUCGACACCGUCGGGUCUCAUCACUGGCUGGCCGAAAAACAAGAUCCAAACACCCCACUGCUCCUCCUCUCUUCUUUUAGCCAUAACAACCGCCCACCACCAGCCCUCAAUCGACGAAUUCCCCUUCACCACAACAACCAACGAGCCUCGAUUCUGAACAACCAAGAACAUCCACCCAAACUCCACCCUAAGAUGCUAGAAACACACAGUCAUAAGCAAAAGGAUGGACAUGAUCGAAGGGGAUGGAAAAUCGAUGUGGACAAAAAAUAAAAUAAAUUCUACUUUUCUGGUUCUCAAAUCCGGAAAAGUACACCCCAGUCUCUAAUUUUUGAUCUUCUCAUGGAGUUGACUUGAAUUCGAGAUUGGAGUUCCGUCGAGGUUGAUGCCGAUUCGAGUUUCCAUCCACGUUUCGUUAUAUUUUGAGCUCAAAAUAGUGAUACAAUUUUCUUUUAGCUAUAUUUGAGGUCUAUUCUUCCCUUCCCUUAUUGUUCUUUUACUUAAUAUCAUGAUAUUGAUAAUCCCGUUAAUCUGUUGUUGCCGUAUGUUUGUUGAUUGAGAUGAAUUGGUAUGGAUGUUGUUUUCAUUAAAUUGGUAGUUGAAUUGUUUUUGUAGUAUUGGAAGCCUAAACUAAAAUGAGAUUGCUAAGUAAGAACUCCACUUGGAUCUUAUUGACUUUGAAAUAGUGAAUGUGGUCGCGGGUUCAGUUUUCAAGAAGAUGAGAAUCCUAUUAAUUGAAAUUAAAUAAAAUUGUAAUUUUGGUCGUACUCUAUGCAUGAAAUUGGGCUUUGAAACUAAGUUUAGUUAUGCUUAUUUUGUUUGAAUCAGUAUGAGUAUG
This 1530-nucleotide long non-coding RNA is filed under the name Nicotiana benthamiana. RNAcentral's name for it is "long non-coding RNA (NBEN_LNC031769)". The record is from RNAcentral. Lineage: Eukaryota; Viridiplantae; Streptophyta; Magnoliopsida; Solanales; Solanaceae.